RNAcentral lists this unclassified non-coding RNA (267 nucleotides) under uncultured Venturiales. RNAcentral describes it as "sequence contains 5.8S rRNA gene, ITS2, 28S rRNA gene". The record is from RNAcentral. Lineage: Eukaryota; Fungi; Ascomycota; Dothideomycetes.
AACGCACAUUGCGCCUCCCGGUAUUCCGGGAGGCACGCCUGUUCGAGCGCCAUUACACACCCCAAGCCAUGCUUGAUGUUGGACGACGCGGGGUAACCCGCCCGUCUGGAACGUGUGGGCGUCCGCCGGGGGCCCAGGAGCGUAGCAAGACAUCGCGUCAUUCGCUCUGCUGGGCCCCGACGGUGGGCAGCCGAAAGUGGACAGCAAUGUCCUUUUAUCAUCCAAAAGUUUGGCCUCGGAUCAGGCGGGGAUACCCGCUGAACUUAA